AGGGUUUGAUUAUGGCUCAGAGUGAACGUUGGCGGCACGCCUAACACAUGCAAGUCGAGCGAAGUAGCUUGCUACUUAGCGGCGAACGGGUGAGUAAUGCUUGGAUAAUCUGCCUUUAGGACUGGGACAACUACAGGAAACUGUAGCUAAUACCGGAUAUGACCACAUUUACCAAGGUUUAUGUGGUAAAAGAUUUAUCGCCUUUAGAUGAGUCCAAGUCGCAUCAGGUUGUUGGUAGGGUAAUGGCCUACCAAGCCUAUGACGCGUAGCAGGUCUUAGCGGAUGAUCUGCCACAUGGGGACUGAGAUACGGCCCUGACUCCUACGGGAGGCAGCAGUGAGGAAUAUUGGGCAAUGGACGAAAGUCUGACCCAGCGAUGCCGCGUGAAGGAUGAAGGCCUUAGGGUUGUAAACUUCUGUCAGCAGGGAAGAUAAUGACGGUACCUGCAGAGGAAGCCCCGGCUAACUCCGUGCCAGCCGCCGCGGUAAUUC
This 491-nucleotide ribosomal RNA is filed under the name uncultured bacterium. RNAcentral describes it as "bacterial SSU rRNA". It matches the Rfam family "Bacterial small subunit ribosomal RNA", at positions 8 to 526 of the family's 1533-position model. The record is from RNAcentral.